This 471-nucleotide ribosomal RNA is filed under the name uncultured bacterium. RNAcentral's name for it is "bacterial SSU rRNA". It matches the Rfam family "Bacterial small subunit ribosomal RNA", at positions 28 to 534 of the family's 1533-position model. The record is from RNAcentral.
GAUGAGCGCUGGCGGUAUGCCUAACACAUGCAAGUCGUACGCCUCACUUCGGUGAGGAGUGGCGGACGGGUGAGUAACACGUUAGUACCUGCCCCAAAGUGGGGAAUAACUGCCCGAAAGGGUAGCUAAUACCCCAUAGUCUCCGGUUUAUCCGGAGUAAAGAUUUAUCGCUUUGGGAGGGGCUUGCGUUUGAUUAGCUAGUUGGUGAGGGUAAUGGCCCACCAAGGCGACGAUCAAUAGCUGGAUCGAGAGGUUGACCAGCCACACUGGGACUGAGAUACGGCCCAGACUCCUACGGGAGGCAGCAGUGAGGAAUCUUCCACAAUGGGCGAAAGCCUGAUGGAGCAAUACCGCGUGCAGGAUGAAGCUUUUCGGAGUGUAAACUGCUUUUCUGAAGGAAGAUUAUGACGGUACUUCAGGAAUAAGGAUCGGCUAACUACGUGCCAGCAGCCGCGGUAAAAGUGUAGUGUA